UCAGUUGUGUAGCUGAAUUUGUACAGCUGGUUGUUAUUCAGCCGGGGUCCAGCAGCACCACCUGAGGAAACAGCAGGACACACAGCUGUGAAAACGUGUUUUUGACAAGUGAAGACUGCUAAGCUUUCAUUUGAUGAAUGAACUCAGGCUAGAAGACUGGACAGCUGUAGUCUCUGUAAUGUCUGCAGUUCAGAAAUACUGUCUGUGGAUGGCACUGAGGUGAUUGAACCAGCAGCAAUUUAACAGGGCGUGUUCGACAUGACAGAAGAUAAAAAAAUCUCCCCACUGCUCUAUUAAUGAUGAGCUCUUCUGUUAGAUAUGACGUUUGUCCACGAGGGAAGACAGACUGACGUGUCAGUGUCUGAUUUCAUCACUGGUCGCUGAAGAGCGUGGGGCUGAAUUCAACAAAUACACAUUUUGUGUCAACAACUGGCUGAUAUUCUCAGGGAACAUCAGAAGCAAAACAGCAAGAGAAAAUAAAUAGA
Molecule: long non-coding RNA, 485 nt
Organism: Scatophagus argus
Lineage: Eukaryota; Metazoa; Chordata; Actinopteri; Scatophagidae
Exons: 3
Source: RefSeq, a predicted model, not a curated record